Molecule: transfer RNA, 73 nt
Filed under: Felis catus (domestic cat)
Lineage: Eukaryota; Metazoa; Chordata; Mammalia; Carnivora; Felidae
Also listed under: 3 other names
Rfam family: tRNA
About the family: Transfer RNA (tRNA) molecules are approximately 80 nucleotides in length. Their secondary structure includes four short double-helical elements and three loops (D, anti-codon, and T loops).
Source: Rfam by way of RNAcentral
ACCUAGCUGUCUCAGCCUGUAGAGCAUGUGACUCUAAAUCUCAGGGUCGUGAGUUCAAGCCUCACAUUGGGCA